UGUAUAUCGUCAUUGCUGCGGUUAAAAAGCUCGUAGUUGGAUCUGAGUCGCAUGCAGUGAUUCGCCAUUGGCGUUAAUCGCUGUUGCGACUAUUUGCUGGUUUUCUACCAAAGUUUCGGCUUUUUUAGUGGCUAGCGAGUUUACUUUGAAUAAAUUAGAGUGCUCAAAACAAGCGUUUGCUUGAAUGCUCGAUCAUGGAAUAAUAAAAGAGGACUUCGGUUCUAUUUAUUGGUUCAGGAACUGAAAUAAUGGUUAAGAGGGACAAUUCGGGGGCAUUCGUAUCCCUGCGCGAGAGGUGAAAUUCGUGGACCGCAGGGGGACGCCCUAAAGCGAAAGCAUUUGCCAAGAAUGUCUUCAUUAAUCAAGAACG
Molecule: ribosomal RNA, 370 nt
Filed under: Necator americanus (New World hookworm)
Lineage: Eukaryota; Metazoa; Nematoda; Chromadorea; Rhabditida; Ancylostomatidae
Description: SSU rRNA
Rfam family: Eukaryotic small subunit ribosomal RNA
Source: RNAcentral